This 460-nucleotide ribosomal RNA is filed under the name uncultured bacterium. RNAcentral describes it as "partial 16S ribosomal RNA". It matches the Rfam family "Bacterial small subunit ribosomal RNA", at positions 338 to 795 of the family's 1533-position model. The record is from RNAcentral.
CCUACGGGAGGCAGCAGUGAGGAAUAUUGGUCAAUGGGCGCGAGCCUGAACCAGCCAAGUCGCGUGAGGGAAGACGGCCCUACGGGUUGUAAACCUCUUUUGCCGGGGAGCAACGGGCGCCACGUGUGGCGCCACUGAGAGUACCCGGAGAAAAAGCAUCGGCUAACUCCGUGCCAGCAGCCGCGGUAAUACGGAGGAUGCGAGGGGUAUCCGGUUUAAUUGGGUUAAAAGGUUGCGUAGGCGGAGCAUUAAGUAAGUGGUAAAAUUGAGGGGCUAAACCCCUUACCGCCAUUGAAACUGGCGCUCUUGAGUGGAAGAGAAGUAUGCGGAAGGCGUGGUGUAGCGGUGAAAUGCAUAGAUAUCACGCAGAACCCCGAUUGCGAAGGCAGCAUGCCGGCUUCCUACUGACGCUGAAGCACGAAAGCGUGGGGAUCGAACAGGAUUAGAUACCCCUGUAGUC